GGGGAUUUAGCUCAGCGGCAUAAGCGCCUGCCUGGCAAGCAUGAGGUCACGAGUUCGAUCCGUAUUUUUUA
Transfer RNA from Cavia porcellus (domestic guinea pig), 71 nucleotides. It matches the Rfam family "tRNA". Rfam says of the family: Transfer RNA (tRNA) molecules are approximately 80 nucleotides in length. Their secondary structure includes four short double-helical elements and three loops (D, anti-codon, and T loops). Lineage: Eukaryota; Metazoa; Chordata; Mammalia; Rodentia; Caviidae. The record is from Rfam.